RNAcentral lists this ribosomal RNA (253 nucleotides) under uncultured bacterium. RNAcentral's name for it is "partial 16S ribosomal RNA". It matches the Rfam family "Bacterial small subunit ribosomal RNA", at positions 524 to 776 of the family's 1533-position model. The record is from RNAcentral.
UACGUAGGGUGCGAGCGUUAAUCGGAAUUACUGGGCGUAAAGCGUGCGCAGGCGGUUUUGUAAGCCAGAUGUGAAAGCCCCGGGCUCAACCUGGGAAUGGCAUUUGGGACUGCAAGGCUUGAGUGCGGCAGAGGAGACUGGAAUUCCUGGUGUAGCAGUGAAAUGCGUAGAUAUCAGGAGGAAUACCGAUGGCGAAGGCAGGUCUCUGGGCUGACACUGACGCUCAUGCGCGAAAGCGUGGGGAGCAAACAGG